AGGUGCAUUACUGGGCAAUGACUUAUUUGGCAGUUGAAUUGACCAUUCAGGCCAUGACCAGAGAAGCUAUGUUUACCGCCAAAGAAGAUUUGCCCGGCAAUUCAUCC
Molecule: microRNA precursor, 107 nt
Filed under: Glycine max (soybean)
Lineage: Eukaryota; Viridiplantae; Streptophyta; Magnoliopsida; Fabales; Fabaceae
Description: mir-399 microRNA precursor family
Rfam family: mir-399 microRNA precursor family
About the family: mir-399 was identified in both Arabidopsis thaliana and Oryza sativa computationally and was later experimentally verified. mir-399 is thought to target mRNAs coding for a phosphatase transporter. The mature sequence is excised from the 3' arm of the hairpin.
Source: Rfam by way of RNAcentral